UCCGGGCAUGGUGGUUCAUGCCUGUAAUUCCAGCCCUUUGGAAGGCCGAGACGGGAGGAUCACUUUAGGUCAGGAAUUCAAGACCAGCCUGGCCAACACAGUGAAACCCUGUCUGUACCAAAAAUACAAAAAUUAUCUGGGUGUGGGUGUGAACGCCUGUAGUUCCAGCUACUUGGGAGGCUGAAGCAGGAGAAUCACUUAAAUCUUGGAGGUAGAGGUUGCAGUGAGCUGAGAUAGUGCCAGUGCAAUCCAGCCUGGGCAACAGAGUGAGACUCUGUCUCA
This 282-nucleotide small RNA is filed under the name Nomascus leucogenys (northern white-cheeked gibbon). RNAcentral's name for it is "Metazoan signal recognition particle RNA (ENSNLEG00000034818.1)". The record is from RNAcentral. Lineage: Eukaryota; Metazoa; Chordata; Mammalia; Primates; Hylobatidae.